AAUACCGAUAGGUCUCGAUUGUGGAAUGCAUCGAGAUUUAAAGCUCCGGCGCCUAAGGAUGGGUCUGCGGCCUAUCAGGUAGUAGUGGGUGUAGCGUACCUACUAGCCUACGACGGGUACGGGUUGUGAGAGCAAGAGCCCGGAGAUGGAUUCUGAGACACGAAUCCAGGCCCUACGGGGUGCAGCAGGCGCGAAAACUUUACAAUGCUGGCAACAGCGAUAAGGGAACCUCGAGUGCCAGGUUACAAAUCUGGCUGUCGAGAUGCCUAAAAAGCAUUUCAUAGCAAGGGCCGGGCAAGACCGGUGCCAGCCGCCGCGGUAACACCGGCGGCUCGAGUGGUAACCGUUAUUAUUGGGUCUAAAGGGUCUGUAGCCGGCCGGAUAAGUCUCUUGAGAAAUCUGGCAGCUUAACUGUCAGGCUUUCAGGAGAUACUGUCUGGCUCGAGGCCGGGAGAGGUGAGAGGUACUUCAGGGGUAGGGGUGAAAUCUUGUAAUCCUUGAAGGACCACCAGUGGCGAAGGCGUCUCACCAGAACGGACCUGACGGCAAGGGACGAAAGCUAGGGGCACGAACCGGAUUAGAUACCCGGGUAGUCCUAGCCGU
This 603-nucleotide ribosomal RNA is filed under the name uncultured Methanosaeta sp. Its description in RNAcentral is "bacterial SSU rRNA". It matches the Rfam family "Archaeal small subunit ribosomal RNA", at positions 149 to 754 of the family's 1478-position model. Lineage: Archaea; Methanobacteriati; Methanobacteriota; Methanomicrobia; Methanotrichales; Methanotrichaceae. The record is from RNAcentral.